RNAcentral lists this transfer RNA (73 nucleotides) under Telatrygon zugei (pale-edged stingray). Its description in RNAcentral is "tRNA-Thr". It matches the Rfam family "tRNA". From Rfam's summary of the family: Transfer RNA (tRNA) molecules are approximately 80 nucleotides in length. Their secondary structure includes four short double-helical elements and three loops (D, anti-codon, and T loops). Further hydrogen bonds mediate the characteristic L-shaped molecular structure. tRNAs have two regions of fundamental functional importance: the anti-codon, which is responsible for specific mRNA codon recognition, and the 3' end, to which the tRNAs corresponding amino acid is attached (by aminoacyl-tRNA synthetases). tRNAs cope with the degeneracy of the genetic code in two manners: having more than one tRNA (with a specific anti-codon) for a particular amino acid; and 'wobble' base-pairing, i.e. permitting non-standard base-pairing at the 3rd anti-codon position. The record is from RNAcentral. Lineage: Eukaryota; Metazoa; Chordata; Chondrichthyes; Myliobatiformes; Dasyatidae.
GUCCUAGUAGCCCAAAAUUUAAGGCGUCGGUCUUGUAAACCGAAGGCUAGAGGUGAGAUUCCUCUCUAGAACA